RNAcentral lists this ribosomal RNA (505 nucleotides) under uncultured bacterium. RNAcentral describes it as "partial 16S ribosomal RNA". It matches the Rfam family "Bacterial small subunit ribosomal RNA", at positions 29 to 523 of the family's 1533-position model. The record is from RNAcentral.
GUGAACGCUGGCGGUAGGCCUAACACAUGCAAGUCGAACGGCAGCACAGAGGAGCUUGCUCCUUGGGUGGCGAGUGGCGGACGGGUGAGGAAUACAUCGGAAUCUACUCUUUCGUGGGGGAUAACGUAGGGAAACUUACGCUAAUACCGCAUACGACCUUCGGGUGAAAGCAGGGGAUCGCAAGACCUUGCGCGAUUGAAUGAGCCGAUGUCGGAUUAGCUAGUUGGCGGGGUAAAGGCCCACCAAGGCGACGAUCCGUAGCCGGUCGGAGAGGAUGAUCAGCCACACUGGAACUGAGACACGGUCCAGACUCCUACGGGAGGUAGCAUUGGGGAAUAUUGGACAAUGGGCGCAAGCCUGAUCCAGCCAUACCGCGUGGGUGAAGAAGGCCUUCGGGUUGUAAAGCCCUUUUGUUGGGAAAGAAAAGCACACGGUUAAUACCCGAGUGUUCUGACGGUACCCAAAGAAUAAGCACCGGCUAACUUCGUGCCAGCCGCCGCCGUAA